Molecule: ribosomal RNA, 301 nt
Filed under: uncultured bacterium
Lineage: Bacteria
Description: partial 16S ribosomal RNA
Rfam family: Bacterial small subunit ribosomal RNA
Source: RNAcentral
CAGCCGCCACGGGAAUACGAAGGGGGCUAGCGUUGUUCGGAAUUACUGGGCGUAAAGCGCACGUAGGCGGACAUUUAGGUCAGGGGUGAAAUCCCGGGGCUCAACCUCGGAACUGCCUUUGAUACUGGGUGUCUCGAGUCCGGAAGAGGUAAGUGGAACUGCGAGUGUAGAGGUGAAAUUCGUAGAUAUUCGCAAGAACACCAGUGGCGAAGGCGACUGACUGGACAAGUAUUGACGCUGAGGUGCGAAAGCGUGGGGAGCAAACAGGAUUAGAUACCCCAGUAGUCCCUGUCUCUUAUAC